UUCUUUUAAUCGAGUAUUUUUGCCUUCGGGUACAAUUGAGACAGGUGGUGCAUGGUUGUCGUCAGCUCGUGUCGUGAGAUGUUGGGUUAAGUCCCGCAACGAGCGCAACCCUUGUGUUUAGUUGCAAACAGGUCAAGCUGUGCACUCUAGACAGACUGCCGUGGACAACACGGAGGAAGGUGGGGAUGACGUCAAAUCAUCAUGCCCCUUAUGAUCUGGGCUACACACGUGCUACAAUGGCCGGUACAACGGGCAGCGAAGGAGCGAUCCGGAGCGAAUCCUAAAAAGCCGGUCCCAGUUCGGAUUGCAGGCUGAAACUCGCCUACAUGAAGUUGGAGUUGCUAGUAAUCGCGAAUCAGCCAUGGCGCGGUGAAUACGUUCCCGGGCCUU
Molecule: ribosomal RNA, 390 nt
Filed under: uncultured Fusibacter sp.
Lineage: Bacteria; Bacillati; Bacillota; Clostridia; Eubacteriales; Fusibacteraceae
Description: bacterial SSU rRNA
Rfam family: Bacterial small subunit ribosomal RNA
Source: RNAcentral